CCUGAAACCGCAUGCCUACAAGCAGUGGAAGGGCCGCAAGGCCUGACCUCGUGCCUAUUGAAUAAUGAGCUGGCUAGUUAAUCUCAGUCGCAAGGUUAAGCGUAAGCGAGCCGCAGCGAAAGCGAGUCUGAACAGGGCGUUCAGUGGCUGGGAUUAGACGCGAAGCGGGAUGAUCUACCCUUGGCCAGGAUGAAAUUCGUGUAACAGCGAAUGGAGGUCCGAACCAGUGUUGGUUGAAAACGGCUUGGAUGAGCUGAGGGUAGGGGUGAAAGGCUAAUCAAAUUCCGUGAUAGCUCGUUCUCUCCGAAAUAGCUUUAGGGCUAGCCUCGUAUGGACCGUCGUGGUGGUAGAUAACUGAAUGGACUAGGGGCCUUUCCGGGUUACCGAAUCCAAUCAAAAUACGAAUGCCAUGAACGAAUAUACGGGAGUCAGACUGCGAGGGCUAAGCUUCGUAGUCGAAAGGGAAAGAGCCCAGACCGCCGACUAAGGUCCCCAAAUACAUGCUAAGUGGUAAAGGAAGUCGGGAAGCAGAGACAGCCAGGAGGUUGGCUUAGAAGCAGCCAUCCUUUAAAGAAAGCGUAAUAGCUCACUGGUCGAGCAGCCCGGUGCCGACAAUCCAACGGGGCUCAAGCAUGUUACCGAAGUCGCGGGUUUACAGUAAUGUAAGCGGUAGGAGAGCAUUCCAACGGCGUAGAAGGUGACGCGUAAGCGUUGCUGGAGCUUCUGGAAGAGACUCUGCCAGCAUAAGUAGCGACAAUGGGGGCGAGAACCCCCCACGCCGUAAGUCUAAGGUUUCCUGAGAAAGGUUAAUCCGCUCAGGGUUAGUCGGAGCCUAAGGUGAGGCCGAAAGGCGUAGCUGAUGGACAACUGGUUAAAAUUCCAGUACUUCUUUUGUUUUCGAUGCGGGGACGCUGCACGAAAUUCCCGGUGCGAAAUGGUUCCAAUCCGGGAGCUAGUGAGGUUGGGGAAGGCAAAUCCACCCAGCCGUCAGCCUGGAAAAUCCGCUAAGGUUAGGGCAGAAGAAUCCGUACCACAAACCGACACAGGUGGACAAGAUGAGUAUUCUCAGGCGCUCGGGUGAUGGUCUGCGAAGGAACUAGGCAAAUUAGCUCCGUAACUUCGGGAGAAGGAGUGCCCACCUCAGACGUGGGUCGCAGUGAAUAGCGUCAGGCGACUGUUUAACAAAAACACAGGUCUCUGCUAAGUCAAAAAAACGACGUAUAGGGGCUGACGCCUGCCCGGUGCCGGAAGGUUAAAAGGAGGGGUUAGUCGCAAGGCGAAGCUCUGAAUUGAAGCCCCGGUGAACGGCGGCCGUAACAAUAACGGUCCUAAGGUAGCAAAUUCCUUGUCGGGUAAGUUCCGACCUGCACGAAUGGCGUAACGAUCUGACGACUGUCGGCGCAGGCCGCCCGGCGAACUUGUGGUUCCGGUGAAGACGCCGGAUGCCCGCCACUAGACGAAAAGACCCCGUGCACCUUUACUAUACUUUAACAAUGAAUUAUGGGAUGGACUGCGUAGGAUAGGUGGGAGGCUUUGAACCCGGAUUCUUGGAUUCGGGGGAGCCAAUGGUGAAAUACCACCCUGUUUAUUCUGUGAUUCUAAGC
This 1604-nucleotide ribosomal RNA is filed under the name metagenome. Its description in RNAcentral is "bacterial LSU rRNA". It matches the Rfam family "Bacterial large subunit ribosomal RNA", at positions 549 to 2227 of the family's 2925-position model. The record is from RNAcentral.